RNAcentral lists this ribosomal RNA (580 nucleotides) under Colletotrichum gloeosporioides. RNAcentral describes it as "eukaryotic LSU rRNA". The stretch from base 224 to 377 matches the Rfam family "5.8S ribosomal RNA". Lineage: Eukaryota; Fungi; Ascomycota; Sordariomycetes; Glomerellales; Glomerellaceae. The record is from RNAcentral.
AGUAAAAGUCGUAACAAGGUCUCCGUUGGUGAACCAGCGGAGGGAUCAUUACUGAGUUUACGCUCUACAACCCUUUGUGAACAUACCUACAACUGUUGCUUCGGCGGGUAGGGUCUCCGCGACCCUCCCGGCCUCCCGCCUCCGGGCGGGUCGGCGCCCGCCGGAGGAUAACCAAACUCUGAUUUAACGACGUUUCUUCUGAGUGGUACAAGCAAAUAAUCAAAACUUUUAACAACGGAUCUCUUGGUUCUGGCAUCGAUGAAGAACGCAGCGAAAUGCGAUAAGUAAUGUGAAUUGCAGAAUUCAGUGAAUCAUCGAAUCUUUGAACGCACAUUGCGCCCGCCAGCAUUCUGGCGGGCAUGCCUGUUCGAGCGUCAUUUCAACCCUCAAGCUCUGCUUGGUGUUGGGGCCCUACAGCCGAUGUAGGCCCUCAAAGGUAGUGGCGGACCCUCCCGGAGCCUCCUUUGCGUAGUAACUUUACGUCUCGCACUGGGAUCCGGAGGGACUCUUGCCGUAAAACCCCCCAAUUUUCCAAAGGUUGACCUCGGAUCAGGUAGGAAUACCCGCUGAACUUAAGCAU